Molecule: transfer-messenger RNA, 430 nt
Filed under: Variovorax boronicumulans
Lineage: Bacteria; Pseudomonadati; Pseudomonadota; Betaproteobacteria; Burkholderiales; Comamonadaceae
Rfam family: transfer-messenger RNA (bases 1-93)
Source: RNAcentral
CUCCGGAAGCGAGACUCAAAUCAGAUCACUACACAUGUAGAACUGCGCGAUGAAGGCUUGCGGACGGGGGUUCAAAUCCCCCCAGCUCCACCAUAUUCUUAGGGCUACGUCCAAGUAAAUCAAGGACUUAGCUACUGGACGUCCGUCCAGCGCCGUCACAUUCCGUCCACCGAUUCACACGUUUUUCACACGCGGAUCGGUCGCUUCGGGUGCUGGCGGAAGGCCCGGCAAAGGCUGGUGCCCGUAUCGCGCUGGCGGCCGAUCGAAGCCCAGCGCCACCCCUUGCUCGACCCACCGCCCGUAGUGGCGCGUCACCAUCUCGGUCGUCUUGUGGCCUAACAGCCUCGCAAUGUACGCCGGAUUCUCACCCUGGCUCAAAAGCUGGCUCGCGAAGGUGUGCCGCAUCUGGUACGGGUUGCGGUAGCGGGCC